UACAGAGGUGGCAAGCGUUGUUCGGAAUUACUGGGCGUAAAGGGCGCGUAGGCGGCCUUCUAAGUCAGACGUGAAAUCCCCCGGCUUAACCUGGGAACUGCGUCUGAUACUGGGAGGCUUGAGUAUGGGAGAGGGAUGUAGAAUUCCAGGUGUAGCGGUGAAAUUCGUAGAUAUCUGGAGGAAUACCGGUGGCGAAGGCGGCAUCCUGGACCAUAACUGACGCUGAGGCGCGAAAGCUAGGGGAGCAAACGGG
This 253-nucleotide ribosomal RNA is filed under the name uncultured bacterium. Its description in RNAcentral is "partial 16S ribosomal RNA". It matches the Rfam family "Bacterial small subunit ribosomal RNA", at positions 524 to 776 of the family's 1533-position model. The record is from RNAcentral.